AGAGAGAGACAUGCGCGCAUAUCAAUAAGCGGAGGAAAAGAAACUAACAAGGAUUCCCCUAGUAACGGCGAGUGAAGCGGGAAGAGCUCAAAUUUGAAAUCUUCAAGGGUUCUACCUUGACGAAUUGUAGUUUAUAGAAGUGUUUUCUGUUAGGUGUUAGUGGUAAAAGUUCUUUGGAAUAGGACAUCAUAGAGGGUGAGAAUCCCGUAUUUGGUCAUUCCUCCUAGCGUUGUGAUACACUUUCAACGAGUCGGAUUGUUUGGGAAUGCAGUCCAAAAUGGGUGGUAAAUUUCAUCUAAAGCUAAAUAUUGGCGAGAGACCGAUAGCGAACAAGUACCGUGAGGGAAAGAUGAAAAGAACUUUGAAAAGAGAGUUAAACAGUACGUGAAAUUGUCAAAAGGGAAGCGUUUGACACCAGUGUUGUUUUUCCGAAAAUCAAUUACGAAUGUUUUGUUUUUGAGGAGUUAUGACUUCAUCGGCUUGCUCCUUUCUUUACUGAAACUUUCUUAAUGCACUUUUCGGUUAACAAGUCAACAUCAAUUUCUUUUGUUGUAAAAGGGUAUGAGGAAGGUGGCUUUCCUUUUCGGAGAAAGUGUUUAUAGCCUUGUGCCUCUGCAAUCGGAGAGAUUGAGGUCUGCAGCGUAGAUCCUUCGGGGUUAGAUACGUUUGUGCUAAGUUAUAGCUUUUCAUAGACAACUUGUUGACUAUGUUUAGUCUUGUAGCUUACUCGCUGACGCUAUUUUACCUACGCUUAGGAUGUUGAUAGUCACAGCGUGUAC
This 779-nucleotide ribosomal RNA is filed under the name uncultured Neocallimastigales. Its description in RNAcentral is "partial large subunit ribosomal RNA". It matches the Rfam family "Eukaryotic large subunit ribosomal RNA", at positions 23 to 644 of the family's 3401-position model. Lineage: Eukaryota; Fungi; Neocallimastigomycota; Neocallimastigomycetes; Neocallimastigales. The record is from RNAcentral.